Molecule: ribosomal RNA, 750 nt
Filed under: Latilactobacillus sakei
Lineage: Bacteria; Bacillati; Bacillota; Bacilli; Lactobacillales; Lactobacillaceae
Description: bacterial SSU rRNA
Rfam family: Bacterial small subunit ribosomal RNA
Source: RNAcentral
CGUGCCAGCAGCCGCGGUAAUACGUAGGUGGCAAGCGUUGUCCGGAUUUAUUGGGCGUAAAGCGAGCGCAGGCGGUUUCUUAAGUCUGAUGUGAAAGCCUUCGGCUCAACCGAAGAAGUGCAUCGGAAACUGGGAAACUUGAGUGCAGAAGAGGACAGUGGAACUCCAUGUGUAGCGGUGAAAUGCGUAGAUAUAUGGAAGAACACCAGUGGCGAAGGCGGCUGUCUGGUCUGUAACUGACGCUGAGGCUCGAAAGCAUGGGUAGCAAACAGGAUUAGAUACCCUGGUAGUCCAUGCCGUAAACGAUGAGUGCUAGGUGUUGGAGGGUUUCCGCCCUUCAGUGCCGCAGCUAACGCAUUAAGCACUCCGCCUGGGGAGUACGACCGCAAGGUUGAAACUCAAAGGAAUUGACGGGGGCCCGCACAAGCGGUGGAGCAUGUGGUUUAAUUCGAAGCAACGCGAAGAACCUUACCAGGUCUUGACAUCCUUUGACCACUCUAGAGAUAGAGCUUUCCCUUCGGGGACAAAGUGACAGGUGGUGCAUGGUUGUCGUCAGCUCGUGUCGUGAGAUGUUGGGUUAAGUCCCGCAACGAGCGCAACCCUUAUUACUAGUUGCCAGCAUUUAGUUGGGCACUCUAGUGAGACUGCCGGUGACAAACCGGAGGAAGGUGGGGACGACGUCAAAUCAUCAUGCCCCUUAUGACCUGGGCUACACACGUGCUACAAUGGAUGGUACAACGAGUUGCGAGA